Molecule: ribosomal RNA, 529 nt
Filed under: swine manure pit bacterium PPC98
Lineage: Bacteria
Description: bacterial SSU rRNA
Rfam family: Bacterial small subunit ribosomal RNA
Source: RNAcentral
GAGAGUUUGAUCUGGCUCAGGACGAACGCUGGCGGCGUGCCUAAUACAUGCAAGUCGAACGCACUGACAGAGAAACUUGUUUCUCUUGACGUGAGUGGCGCACGGGUGAGUAACACGUGGGAAACCUACCCUUCAGCGGGGGAUAACCGUCGGAAACGAUGGCUAAUACCGCAUAGGUCUUUUAACCGCCUGGUUGAAAGAGGAAAGACGGCUUCGGCUGUCACUGAAGGAUGGUCCCGCGGUGCAUUAGCUAGUUGGUAAGGUAACGGCUUACCAAGGCGAUGAUGCAUAGCCGACCUGAGAGGGUGAUCGGCCACAUUGGGACUGAGACACGGCCCAAACUCCUACGGGAGGCAGCAGUAGGGAAUCUUCCGCAAUGGACGCAAGUCUGACGGAGCAACGCCGCGUGUGUGAAGAAGGUCUUCGGAUCGUAAAGCACUGUUAUUAGAGAAGAACAACCGGUAGAGUAACUGUUACCGGCUUGACGGUAUCUAACCAGAAAGCCACGGCUAACUACGUGCCAGCAGCC